This is a non-coding RNA of Picea glauca (white spruce), 44 nucleotides long. NCBI's taxonomy places the organism in Eukaryota, Viridiplantae, Streptophyta, Pinopsida, Pinales, Pinaceae. The record is from Rfam.
UAAAUGGUGUCUUUAGACACCACCGAUAUUCUUGAAGUUUAUUU